RNAcentral lists this transfer RNA (70 nucleotides) under Marmota monax (woodchuck). RNAcentral describes it as "tRNA.Ser". The stretch from base 5 to 65 matches the Rfam family "tRNA", at positions 6 to 65 of the family's 71-position model. Rfam says of the family: Transfer RNA (tRNA) molecules are approximately 80 nucleotides in length. Their secondary structure includes four short double-helical elements and three loops (D, anti-codon, and T loops). The record is from RNAcentral. Lineage: Eukaryota; Metazoa; Chordata; Mammalia; Rodentia; Sciuridae.
GGGCUGGGGCUCAGCGGUAGAGCACUUGCCUCGAGUGUGAGAUGCACUGGGUUCGAAUCCCAGCACCACA